AAAACUACAUUUGGUUAAAAAGAUGUGUUUGUAGGUUUUCUACUCUACCAUCAUAUGUGAGGAACUGUCAUAAAAAAAUUCCAACCAAACAACCCUACAGCUUAAAUUGAACUGGAAGUAAAUUCUCUGAAGACGGAUGUUAAUAACUCAGUUUCUUCUGUUGUAAGGAAGAAUACAUUUGAAAUGAAACAGGAUAUUGCUGGAAGUAGAGUGAAAUACAAUUGCAUUUCUAGGAUGUUAGACUUACUUUUCUACUGAACUUCAAGUAUUGAAAAGGUUGAUAUUCAGCACGUGUAGAAGGUGGUCAAGACUGAAGUGAAAUAGCCACUCACUGUACCAAAGCGCAGUUUGGAA
Molecule: long non-coding RNA, 354 nt
Filed under: Calidris pugnax (ruff)
Lineage: Eukaryota; Metazoa; Chordata; Aves; Charadriiformes; Scolopacidae
Description: lncRNA (ENSCPUG00000011132.1)
Source: RNAcentral